AUAUGUAUAUAAGAAAUCCAACAAUGUUCCUUAAUUUGUGCAUUUUCUUGUUUACUUUACCACCGAAUGUAUUACAUGGGAUAGAAUACAAGCACUGUUGCACCAUAGUUAGGUGUGCAUACUGGUAUAGUGUAAUGACAACAAACCCUCACUCUAUUUGGUUGAUCUAUGGUUGCUGUGCUGUACACACAUUAUCAUAUAGCAUGUCCAACGUGAUAUGCAAAAUCAUUCUUUUUUUCUUCUCACAGUCAAAGAACUGUUUUAAAAACACAAUCUGUGUGUAUUUAUUUAUUGUAUGAUAAUAUUUUAAUAGUGAUGCAGAACAUGGUUAAAACAAUUCAAAAUAGAAACAUACACUCUCUAAGUGUGCCUAAGUUAUCAAAUAGUAUAUCACUAUUAGGUCAAAGAUUAUUGCAUACUCAAACAAUGUUUAACUUCC
Molecule: long non-coding RNA, 439 nt
Filed under: Physcomitrium patens
Lineage: Eukaryota; Viridiplantae; Streptophyta; Bryopsida; Funariales; Funariaceae
Description: long non-coding RNA (PPAT_LNC010129)
Source: RNAcentral